GAUUAUGGUUCAGGAUGAACGCUAGCUACAGGCUUAACACAUGCAAGUCGAGGGGCAGCAUGAACUUAGCUUGCUAAGUUUGAUGGCGACCGGCGCACGGGUGAGUAACACGUAUCCAACCUUCCGUUUACUCAGGGAUAGCCUUUCGAAAGAAAGAUUAAUACCUGAUAGUAUGGUGAGAUUGCAUGAUAACACCAUUAAAGAUUUAUUGGUAAACGAUGGGGAUGCGUUCCAUUAGGUAGUAGGG
RNAcentral lists this ribosomal RNA (247 nucleotides) under uncultured bacterium. RNAcentral's name for it is "partial 16S ribosomal RNA". It matches the Rfam family "Bacterial small subunit ribosomal RNA", at positions 15 to 253 of the family's 1533-position model. The record is from RNAcentral.